GACGUAGGAUGCAAGCGUUGUCCGGAUUUAUUGGGCGUAAAGAGUUCGUAGGCGGCGCGGUAAGUCGGGUGUGAAAUCUCGGAGCUUAACUCCGAAACUGCAUUCGAUACUGCCGUGCUUGAGGACUGGAGAGGAGACUGGAAUUUACGGUGUAGCGGUGAAAUGCGUAGAUAUCGUAAGGAAGACCAGUGGCGAAGGCGGGUCUCUGGACAGUUCCUGACGCUGAGGCACGAAGGUCAGGGGAGCAAACGGG
Molecule: ribosomal RNA, 253 nt
Filed under: uncultured bacterium
Lineage: Bacteria
Description: partial 16S ribosomal RNA
Rfam family: Bacterial small subunit ribosomal RNA
Source: RNAcentral